Molecule: long non-coding RNA, 909 nt
Organism: Perca fluviatilis (European perch)
Lineage: Eukaryota; Metazoa; Chordata; Actinopteri; Perciformes; Percidae
Exons: 4
Source: RefSeq, a predicted model, not a curated record
ACUAUGGGAGCUUUGGGAACAGCACCGACUCCUGUCCAGCAAGAUGCACCUGCGACUACCACAACAUCACUCCAUAUAGGCCUAUAGCCUACAGAACGCUGUUGAGAGUUGCUGGGGCAUUGCCGAACUCUAUUCCCCUCCUGCUAAGGCAGCUGUUUAGAGGCCCUCAUCAAUAAGAGAGAACUGUAAGGAAACCAGCAUGAAAAGCACGGCCUCUCCCUCCCCUCCCGAUCCCACAAUAACACCCACCGCCCAAUCUGAGGCGCGGUAACGUAGUGACACCCAACUCUGAUCCGACCCAGUAACUGGCUCUUUGUUGAAGGAUGGCACAGGCAGAAUUCAGGUGCUGAGAAGAAGAGGAACGUCAGUGUGAUGACCAUCUAAGCUGGAAACGGGCUGCAGUUGUUUUCUUUGCAAAAACACCUGUCUAAACAGCAGCAAAGCCAAGGGCAAGUCUCGCCUGUCAGCGUCGGUGACAGCUCUUGACAAAAAUUCAGCAGAGACAAUUCCUAAGACGUCCACUCAAGCGGAACAAUGCACGUGUGCUGCAAUGACCCCAGCUGGGCUGUCUCUCUUUUUUUAAGUUUUAGUGUUGUUUGUAGGAGCUCUGCAACAGACAUUGGACAACACCUGGAAGAAGGUCAAAUGCAAGAUAUUCCCGUAAAGAUACAGUCUUUGUUUUGUUUGUCUCUGUGGUUUCAAAUGCACAUAAUCCUUCUAAAUACACCGGUGGUUUCAGUGACAUGGACUCAGCAAAAAAAAAAAAAAACUCUUACAGUUGUGUGACCGCAACAAAAGGCUGGACUAUUUAAGUGAUUAAUUAAUACAGCUUACAACCAUUUAUGAAGCUGUUUGCAUCAUCUGUCCAGAGUGGAUUUAGGGGCCGUUUCAGUGAAGAUUUACUGAACA